This 337-nucleotide ribosomal RNA is filed under the name uncultured cyanobacterium. Its description in RNAcentral is "bacterial SSU rRNA". It matches the Rfam family "Bacterial small subunit ribosomal RNA", at positions 75 to 432 of the family's 1533-position model. Lineage: Bacteria; Bacillati; Cyanobacteriota. The record is from RNAcentral.
ACGGAACUUCGGGUUUAGCGGCGGACUGGUGAGUAACGCGUGAGAAUCUGCCUCUAGGUCGGGGACAACAAUUGGAAACGAUUGCUAAUACCCGAUGUGCAGCAAUGUGAAAGAUUUAUUGCCUAGAGAUGAGCUCGCGUCUGAUUAGCUAGUAGGUGUGGUAAUGGCGCACCUAGGCGACGAUCAGUAACUGGUCUGAGAGGAUGACCAGUCACACUGGGACUGAGACACGGCCCAGACUCCUACGGGAGGCAGCAGUGGGGAAUUUUCCGCAAUGGGCGAAAGCCUGUACGGAGCCAUACCGCGUGAGGGACGAAGGCUUUUGGGUCGUAAACCU